RNAcentral lists this ribosomal RNA (454 nucleotides) under uncultured bacterium. Its description in RNAcentral is "partial 16S ribosomal RNA". It matches the Rfam family "Bacterial small subunit ribosomal RNA", at positions 341 to 792 of the family's 1533-position model. The record is from RNAcentral.
ACGGAAGGCAGCAGUGAGGAAUAUUGGUCAAUGGGCGGAAGCCUGAACCAGCCAUCUCGCGUGAAGGAAUACGGCCCUACGGGUCUUAAACUUCUUUUAUAGGGGGAUAAAGUGAGGCAUGUAUGCCUUUUUGUAGGUACCCUAUGAAUAAGCAUCGGCUAACUCCGUGCCAGCAGCCGCGGUAAUACGGAGGAUGCGAGCGUUAUCCGGAUUUAUUGGGUUUAAAGGGUGCGCAGGCGGCACGUUAAGUCAGCGGUGAAAUGUCAGGGCUCAACCUUGGCACUGCCGGAGAUACUGGCGGCCUUGAGAGUGGCGGAGGUAUCCGGAAUGUGUGGUGUAGCGGUGAAAUGCAUAGAUAUCACACAGAACACCGAUUGCGAAGGCAGGAUACCAUACCAUAUCUGACGCUCAGGCACGAAAGCGUGGGGAUCGAACAGGAUUAGAUACCCUGGUA